AGGAGAGACGAGGGCCAUCAUCAAUCCAGCCCAACCGAUUGUGAGCAACGUGCUCUAAUUAAAAAGUUAAAACAAUACGAGCCAGGCACUCACUCUCCCGAGCAAUUUUUCAUCCGCGACUCUGGAACCGGCAGGAAUUCAUAAUUAUACUCCGCGGCUUGCUAUUGUUGAGUCUGAGAAAAGGAGUCAUUGAAACUGCUCGCUCGCUCUCUCUCAGCAGCAGCAGCAGCAGCAGCAGCAGGAAUUUCGUUACACGGCGCCGCCGACUCUUGAGUCAACAAUGAGCCUAUUUGCAUGUUUGCCCGACCGCGUCGUACGAAUUGCAGCUUUACUAUUUGCAAUUUUGGUCACGCGACUCAACCGCAAAUUGAGCGCGCGGCCAUCAACGCGAGCUCAAUUUAUGUCAACCCCUCAAAAAGUGGCGCUGCGGAAUAUUUUCGAUGGCUCAUUCAUGAUGUAUCAGGCAGAAAGUGCGGUGAACACGCGCACCAGAGAUUUCAUCGUGUGUGCCGGCCGCGACCGCGCUGCCGCCGCCGCGGCUGAUGAUGAUGUUGAUCCAUUAACAUGCCGCUGGUGCUGCCGAGCAAUUUGCAUAUUAUUCUAGCCCGGUCACAGCCCCGCGCGUGAAUUAGCGCGGAUUUGUCCCGGAACCUGUCGCAGCGCAAUUUGCAUCCAACACGCGCACCCUGUCAAAUGUUUGCGUUUGAAAUUAUGCUCUGCCACUUUUCUGCAAAUAAAUAAAAUUAAAAAUCACAAUUCGGUGUCCAAGAAAUAAAAAUGAUAUUCGA
This is a long non-coding RNA of Neocloeon triangulifer, 788 nucleotides long. RefSeq lists it as uncharacterized. The transcript is spliced from 4 exons. The record is from RefSeq and is a predicted model, not a curated record. Lineage: Eukaryota; Metazoa; Arthropoda; Insecta; Ephemeroptera; Baetidae.